UACGAAGGGGGCAAGCGUUGUUCGGAAUUAUUGGGCGUAAAGGGAGCGUAGGCGGUUCGGCAAGUCUUUAGUGAAAUCUCUGGGCUCAACUCAGAGUCUGCUGGAGAAACUGCCGGGCUGGAGUAUGGGAGAGGUAAGUGGAAUUCCCGGUGUAGCGGUGAAAUGCGCAGAUAUCAGGAGGAACACCGGUGGCGAAGGCGGGUCUCUGGGCCGUAACUGACGCUGGAGGAGCGAAAGCAUGGGGAGCGAACAGG
Molecule: ribosomal RNA, 254 nt
Filed under: uncultured bacterium
Lineage: Bacteria
Description: partial 16S ribosomal RNA
Rfam family: Bacterial small subunit ribosomal RNA
Source: RNAcentral